GAUGAAGAACGUAGCGAAAUGCGAUAAGUAGUGUGAAUUGCAGAAUUCAGUGAAUCUUCGAAUCUUUGAACGCACAUUGCGCCCUUUGGUAUUCCUUAGGGCAUGCCUGUUCGAGCGUCAUUUAAACCUUCAAGCUCAGCUUGGUGUUGGGUGACUGUCCGCUUCACCGCGGACUCGCCUCAAAAUUAUUGGCGGCCGGUACAUUGGCUCUCGAGCGCAGCAGAAACGCGUAACUCGAGGUCCUCGUGCUGGCUCCCAGAAGCUAUCUUCACAAUUUUGACCUCGGAUCAGGUAGGGAGACCCGCUGAACUUAAGCAUAUCAAUAAGCGGAGGA
RNAcentral lists this unclassified non-coding RNA (334 nucleotides) under soil metagenome. Its description in RNAcentral is "partial contains 5.8S ribosomal RNA, internal transcribed spacer 2, and large subunit ribosomal RNA". The stretch from base 1 to 120 matches the Rfam family "5.8S ribosomal RNA", at positions 35 to 154 of the family's 154-position model. The record is from RNAcentral.